Molecule: ribosomal RNA, 810 nt
Filed under: Triticum aestivum (bread wheat)
Lineage: Eukaryota; Viridiplantae; Streptophyta; Magnoliopsida; Poales; Poaceae
Description: partial small subunit ribosomal RNA
Source: RNAcentral
AUGCCGCCGGCGACGGCGCUGAUGGACGAUGUGGUCGUGGAGAUCCUGCUCCGCCUCCCGCCCGACGAGCCCGGGUGCCUCGUCCGUGCCUGCCUCGUCUCCAAGCCCUGGCGCCGCCUCCUCACGGGUAACGCCUUCCUCCGCAGCUACCGCAAGUUCCACGCGGCACCGCCCAUGCUGGGAUUCCUCCACCGCCUCUACGACGAGGAUCCCUGCGUCGCCCGAUUCGUCCCCACCGCGAAGUCCUUCCGCCCGCCACGCAACCGCCGCUGCUGGUACGCACUCGAUGCCCGCCACGGCCGAGCCCUCUUCUACGAUUCAGAAUCAGAACAGAAGCCCGCUGAGUUCGUCGUCUGGGACCCCGUCACGGACGGGCACCGGAGGAUUCCCCUUCCCGAGACCCCCAAAUCCUGGAACGCGGCGGUGCUCUGCGCCGUGGAUGGCUGCGACCACCUCGACUGCCAUGGCGACGACCCCUUCCUCGUGGCAUUCGUGGGUGUUCGACAGGAGGAGGGGAUCUGGAUCACGUCCGCGUGCUUCUACUCGUCGGAGGCGAGUUCAUGGAGCAGCACGAGCUUUGUUGAGCAUCCGGAUGCUUCCAUCGAGAUGCAGCCAAGCGCCCUCUCUGGAAAUGCAGUCUACUUCCUCUGCGAUCCAAGCACGCGAAUUCUGCAAUGCGACUUUGUUGGCGAGAGGAAGCUAUCGGUGAUUGACCGGCCGGACGUGCAUGAGAAUAACGUCGUCCUCAUAACAGCGGAGGACGGCACACUGGGAUUUGCUGGCGUGCAGGAAUCCAGCAUCUACCUCUGA